Molecule: ribosomal RNA, 497 nt
Filed under: uncultured bacterium
Lineage: Bacteria
Description: partial 16S ribosomal RNA
Rfam family: Bacterial small subunit ribosomal RNA
Source: RNAcentral
GAUGAACGCUGGCGGCGUGCCUAAUACAUGCAAGUCGAGCGAACGGACGAGAAGCUUGCUUUUCUGAUGUUAGCGGCGGACGGGUGAGUAACACGUGGAUAACCUACCUAUAAGACUGGGAUAACUUCGGGAAACCGGAGCUAAUACCGGAUAAUAUUUUGAACCGCAUGGUUCAAAAGUGAAAGACGGUCUUUCUGUCACUUAUAGCUGGAUCCGCGCUGCAUUAGCUAGUUGGUAAGGUAACGGCUUACCAAGGCAACGAUGCAUAGCCGACCUGAGAGGGUGAUCGGCCACACUGGAACUGAGACACGGUCAAGACGCCUACGGGAGGCAGCAGUAGGGAAUCUUACGCAAUGGGCGAAAGCCUGACGGAGCAACGCCGAGUGAGUGAUGAAGGUCUUGGGAGCGUAAAACUCUGUUAUUGGUGAAGAACAUAUGUGUAAGUAACUGUGCAGAGCUUGACGGUACCUAAUAAGAAAGCAACGGCUAACUACGUG